This 73-nucleotide transfer RNA is filed under the name Pleodorina starrii. RNAcentral describes it as "tRNA-Pro". Lineage: Eukaryota; Viridiplantae; Chlorophyta; Chlorophyceae; Chlamydomonadales; Volvocaceae. The record is from RNAcentral.
GGGCGUUUAGUCUAGUGGUAUGAUUCUCGCUUCGGGUGCGAGAGGCGCCCGAGAUCGAUCUCGCACACUCCCC